This 329-nucleotide ribosomal RNA is filed under the name uncultured eukaryote. Its description in RNAcentral is "SSU rRNA". It matches the Rfam family "Eukaryotic small subunit ribosomal RNA", at positions 594 to 928 of the family's 1831-position model. The record is from RNAcentral.
AUAGCGUAUAUUAAAGUUGUUGAGGUUAAAAAGCUCGUAGUUGAACCUUGGGCCUAGCCGGCCGGUCCGCCUCACCGCGUGCACUGGCUCGGCUGGGCCUUUCCUUCUGGAGAACCGCAUGCCCUUCACUGGGUGUGCUGGGGAACCAGGACUUUUACUCUGAACAAAUUAGAUCGCUUAAAGAAGGCCUAUGCUCGAAUACAUUAGCAUGGAAUAAUAGAAUAGGACGUGUGGUUCUAUUUUGUUGGUUUCUAGGACCGAAGUAAUGAUUAAUAGGGAUAGUUGGGGGCAUUAGUAUUUAGUAGCUAGAGGUGAAAUUCUUGGAUUUA